AGUGAACGCUGGCGGUAGGCCUAACACAUGCAAGUCGAACGACAGCACAGUAAGAGCUUGCUCUUACGGGUGGCGAGUGGCGGACGGGUGAGGAAUACAUCGGAAUCUACUUUUUCGUGGGGGAUAACGUAGGGAAACUUACGCUAAUACCGCAUACGACCUACGGGUGAAAGCAGGGGAUCUUCGGACCUUGCGCGGUUGAAUGAGCCGAUGUCGGAUUAGCUAGUUGGCGGGGUAAAGGCCCACCAAGGCGACGAUCCGUAGCUGGUCUGAGAGGAUGAUCAGCCACACUGGAACUGAGACACGGUCCAGACUCCUACGGGAGGCAGCAGUGGGGAAUAUUGGACAAUGGGCGCAAGCCUGAUCCAGCCAUACCGCGUGGGUGAAGAAGGCCUUCGGGUUGUAAAGCCCUUUUGUUGGGAAAGAAAAGCAGCAGGUUAAUACCCCGCUGUUCUGACGGUACCCAAAGAAUAAGCACCGGCUAACUUCGUG
This 492-nucleotide ribosomal RNA is filed under the name uncultured bacterium. RNAcentral's name for it is "partial 16S ribosomal RNA". It matches the Rfam family "Bacterial small subunit ribosomal RNA", at positions 29 to 507 of the family's 1533-position model. The record is from RNAcentral.